Molecule: ribosomal RNA, 210 nt
Filed under: uncultured Acidobacteriota bacterium
Lineage: Bacteria; Pseudomonadati; Acidobacteriota
Description: uncultured Acidobacteria bacterium partial 16S ribosomal RNA
Rfam family: Bacterial small subunit ribosomal RNA
Source: RNAcentral
CGGCGUAGGCGGACGAAGGCAAGUCAGAUGUGAAAUCCCCGGGCUCAACCUGGGAAUUGCAUCUGAAACUGCAGUGCUUGAGUCCUGGAGGGGAUAGUGGAAUUCCCAGUGUAGCGGUGAAAUGCGUAGAUAUUGGGAGGAACACCUGCGGCGAAGGCGGCUAUCUGGACAGUGACUGACGCUGAUGCGCGAAAGCCAGGGGAGCGAACG